GCCCAAAAAAUUAGCCGAUUGAACCUACAAACCACUUUUUUGCAAACCAAAACAUUUACCCUGGACAGUAAAUGAGAUUAAACCCCGCCACCGGCCUUACAAGUACCGCAAGGGAACACUGAAAGAAUGAUGAAAUACCCGUAAGCAUAAAAAAGCAAAGACAAAACCCUGUACCUCUUGCAUCAUGGUCUAGCAAACCCCAUAAAGACAAAGAGACCUUAAGCCUUCCCACCCGAAACCAAACGAGCUAUUUUUAGGCAGCUUUUAAUUAGAGCACAACCAUCUCUGUAGCAAAAGAGUGGUAAGACCUAAAAAUAUGAGGCGAAAAACCUACCGAGCUUGGUGAUAGCUGGUUACUCAACAAGAGAAUUUUAGUUCAACUUUAAGUAUUAAUAUGAGCCAAACCCCUAAAUCUCAUACCCUAAUACUUAAAGAAAUUCAAUUGGGGUACAACCCAAUUGAACCGGAAUACAACCCGAAUCGAGAGUAAACUUUCUUUCCCCCUCCCCGUAGGCUUCAAGGCAGCCACCAAAUGCAAAUGCGUUAAAGCAAUAACCCAAAACAAUACUAGCACUAAAACCGUACUCCUAGUCUUUAAUGAGUUAUUCUAUGCCCUAAUAGAAACGCCAAUGCUAAAAUUAGUAAUAAGAAACGCUCGUUUCUCCUUGCACCCCCUUAAAUCAGAAUAGAAAAACUACUGAUCGUUAACAACUUAAUGUAAAUACCCACGAGGACCAGCCAACAAUGUUACCCAAAACUUGUUACCCCAACUCAGGCGUGCAACAAGGAAAGACAAAAAGUCAAAAAAGGAACUCGGCAAACCUUCAUCCCAACUGUUUACCAAAAACAUAGCCUUUAGCUUUACAAGUAUUAAAGGUCCCGCCUGCCCAGUGACUCUUUUUAAACGGCCGCGGUAUCCUAACCGUGCAAAGGUAGCAUAAUCACUUGUCUCUUAAAUAGAGACUAGAACGAACGGCUAAAUGAGGACCUAGCUGUCUCUUACGACUGGUCAAUGAAAUUGAUCUUCCAGUCCAAAAGCUGGAAUUUUUACAUAAGACGAGAAGACCCUGUGGAGCUUAAAAACUAAACCACCAAAAUGAACACCAGUUUUUUAGUUGGGGCGACUUCGGAGUACAAACCAACCUCCAAAAAAUGACCCGUUUACAAGAUAAACAUAUCAAAAUAAGUGUCUUAGACCCAGAAACCUUUCUGAUUAAUGAACCAAGUUACCCCAGGGAUAACAGCGCCAUCCCCUUCAAGAGUCCUUAUCGACAAGGGGGUUUACGACCUCGAUGUUGGAUCAGGACACCCAAAUAGUGCAGCCGCUAUUAAAGGUUUGUUUGUUCAACAAUUAAAGUCCUACGUGAUCUGAGUUCAGACCGGAGAAAUCCAGGUCGGUUUCUAUCUAUGAGGCACCACCUUCAGUACGAAAGGACCAAGAUAGUAGGACCACCCCUGACAGAGCGUCCUAAUUAUAACCACUAACCGCCACUAAAGAGGAAUACACGCCACCAACGAGUCUAAUAGACUU
Molecule: ribosomal RNA, 1531 nt
Filed under: Takydromus amurensis (Amur grass lizard)
Lineage: Eukaryota; Metazoa; Chordata; Lepidosauria; Squamata; Lacertidae
Description: 16S ribosomal RNA
Rfam family: Bacterial large subunit ribosomal RNA
Source: RNAcentral